This 254-nucleotide ribosomal RNA is filed under the name uncultured bacterium. RNAcentral describes it as "partial 16S ribosomal RNA". It matches the Rfam family "Bacterial small subunit ribosomal RNA", at positions 524 to 776 of the family's 1533-position model. The record is from RNAcentral.
UACAGAGGUCUCAAGCGUUGUUCGGAUUCAUUGGGCGUAAAGGGUGCGUAGGUGGCGCCGUAAGUCAGGUGUGAAAUUUCGGAGCUUAACUCCGAAACUGCAUUUGAUACUGCCGUGCUUGAGGACUGGAGAGGAGACUGGAAUUUACGGUGUAGCGGUGAAAUGCGUAGAUAUCGUAAGGAAGACCAGUGGCGAAGGCGGGUCUCUGGACAGUUCCUGACGCUGAGGCACGAAGGUCAGGGGGAGCAAACGGG